Molecule: ribosomal RNA, 443 nt
Filed under: uncultured bacterium
Lineage: Bacteria
Description: partial 16S ribosomal RNA
Rfam family: Bacterial small subunit ribosomal RNA
Source: RNAcentral
CCUACGGGGGGCAGCAGUGGGGAAUAUUGGGCAAUGGGCGCAAGCCUGACCCAGCAACGCCGCGUGAAGGAAGAAGGCUUUCGGGUUGUAAACUUCUUUUCUCAGGGACGAAGCAAGUGACGGUACCUGAGGAAUAAGCCACGGCUAACUACGUGCCAGCAGGCGCGGUAAUACGUAGGUGGCAAGCGUUAUCCGGAUUUACUGGGUGUAAAGGGCGUGUAGGCGGGGACGCAAGUCAGAUGUGAAAACCACGGGCUCAACCUGUGGCCUGCAUUUGAAACUGUGUUUCUUGAGUACUGGAGAGGCAGACGGAAUGCGUGGUGUAGCGGUGAAAUGUAUAGAUAGUAGGCGGAACCCCGAUGGCGAAGGCGGUCUGCUGGACAGCAACUGACGCUGAGGCGCGAAAGCGUGGGGAGCGAACAGGAUUAGAUACCCGAGUAGUC